CUCUCUCUCUCUCUCUCUCUGAGUGGUGUGUUCCGCGAUCCGGAACUGAAGAGCUCGCCGCGCUUGAUUCUGUCGCGUGACGUUUUCUGAUUCGGGAGCAGUCCGUCGUGGUUCUCGCGUUGGAGAGUUGUUCAAGUGACGAGCAAUUCGAGCGGAGGUGAGACUGCUCGUGGCCUCUGCUUUCCGGAAUUUGUGCGUUCGGAGCGUGUCGCGUGCCUGAUCCUCUUGGAUAAUUCGCGUGAUUAGUUAGUACCGAGCGUCAAAUCGCCAAUCUCUGAUGGGAGAUGAAAACUAUUAGUGCGGGAAUUCGUGAGAGUUCGAAGAGCAGUGAAGGUUUGUGAUGUGGAGUUCGAUGUGGAUCUGGAUGUCCGGACGUCGUGACGAUACGAGCUGUUUGUUAGUUCUCUUCGUGUUAAUUACGAUGGUUGUCCUUCGUGUCGCUUUCGAGUACUUGAAUUUGAUCGCUUCCAUAAAGGUCGAAUUAUGUGCCAGUUCUUUUCCUUGUGACUAUGUUCGAGUGAAAAUAGGAAACGCUUUACCUACGAAACUUUUUCGACCUGUGUUGUGUGGCGAUGGUUUCAUUGAAAUGAUCACUGGUUCAGGCUUCUUCACCUGCAGUUUGCCUGAAGAAGUCCUUCUUACUAUCUCCGUGCACGCUGCCGUUGCCAUCUUGUACUUACAGGUCCAGUUUCUUUUGUGAGGCACUACUCAUACAAGGACAUAAAGAAGGCAACGGGCAGUUUUUGCAGGAUCAUCUAUAGCGAUGCUCAUGGGGCGGCUUACAGAGCCAACUUCGAUGAUGCUGGGCUUGCUUUGGUUAAGGAGGUUAAGGAAUUUGAUCAGAGUAAUGAGGUCUUCUACAGAGAAGUGCAGCUCUUAGGCCGUUUGCAUCACCGCCACCUCCUUGCACUUAGAGGGUUCUGUAUGGGGCAAAAGAGGUAUGACCCUCAUCAUUCAGGCGAAUUUUGAAAACCUUUGCAAUGUAUUUCAUUACAAGAUUUUGUCUUUGAAUGUGGGCAACUGCUUUUUUUAAAUUUCUCUCCUGUUGGUCAUCUUGCUUGUUCAUCCAAUGUACCUUAAUUGAGCAAGUAUCCCUUCUCCUGUGAUUUGGAGGAAAACAAUAACUAUUCUACAUAGUGGUUUAUCUUCUACUUAAUGAGAAAUUGAACCCUCUCUGUUUAGCUGGAAUUCUCACGAUUGGAUGACAAAUGGUUCUACACCUUGCAGUUUGUUAGUGUUUGACAAUGUCGAGAAUGGAAGCUUGAAGGAUCAUCUCAAUGGUAAUUGUCAGUUAAAACAUUUUCUAUGUAUUGGCUUGAUAAAAUUUGGUCUAAAGAGGGGUGCUCUUAGCAGAUCCUCUUAGGACUCCUUUGAAUUGGAGAACGAGAUUACAGAUAGCCAAUGGUGUAGCUGCUGCAUUGGUAAGUCAAGGAACUAUUGUAACUUUUAACUUUAAUUUUCAUUUCUUAUGUGGGAACAGAGACAAAUCAAAUUGGGAGGCUUUCCUAAAAUAUGAAACUGCUCAAUUAGUGUACCCUGCAAUCUGGAACGGUCUAUGGUAGACAUGAUCAAAAACCUUACAUGAAUCUCGCUGGAGAGCUAGUUACUAGAUGACCCGAGACAUCGACCAUAUGUUUAGAACUUGUCCUUGGUAAAAGUAUCGUAAUCCUGGAUGAUCGCGAAAACAUGAAUGGACAUAUUGACAUUAUCAAGCUUUUGGUCUGCAUGUUUUUAUCUGUUGAAUCAAAUGACUUACAAGUCUUAGCACUACAAGAUGUAUUAGGCCAAUCCCUGUCAUGCUGAAUUUGCUGGGAGGAAACUAGCUCCAUCUUAUGCGUACACAAGAUAGUAGUUUGUUUUUUCACGGAAAGUCUGAUUUCAAGUUGACAGAGGCUCAAUCUGUCUGCAGGAAUAUUUGCUCCUAUUUAAUGAUCCCCCAGUAUAUCAUGUAUCUGUCAACUCAAGCAAUGUCAUGUUGGAUGAGAACUUCAUUGCCAAGGUAGGGAAUUUGUUUCAUUUCUUUCAUAUCCAGCAUCUUCUUUGCCUUUUCUGAAUCAGACUAGAGUUAAUCUCAAUUCACAAGUUUUUGGAAUUCAAUCAAAUUGAUACACUGUUGCCAUGUAGUCAAAAGCAAAAAUGACAUUUUCCUUGAUUAUCUCAGCUAUCAGACGUUGGUUUUCUUGGUUAUUCUGGGAAUCACACAGGAACUACUCAUCCAAAAGGUGAUCUGUCGUCACCACACAUGUUGUCUUUGCAAUGAUAUGAAUGUGCAUCCUAUUCCCUUCGAUUAAUAUUUUUCAAAAAUCCCUCAUUCUCGUUGCAGAUUGUAUUGAGGCAGAAUCCAGAAACAUCAUUUUCCAGCUUGGCAUGCUGAUGCUGGAGCUCAUCACUGGGCAAUCAUCAGAAGGGGGAGGCGCCAAUCUGAUCCAGUGGGUUCAAGAAUAUCAUUUGGGUAGCUCCAUUUAUAAGCUGAUAGACCCAGAUCUUGGAAAUGACUAUGAUUCGAGGGAGCUAAGAAAUCUCCUGGAGGUAGCGAGACUAUGUAUCAAAUCGAGGGACAAACCGGUGCUGUCGGCUGCUAGACUGUUUCGGUAUCUCCAGAAGAAGAUAGAUAAUCCAGUCAGUUAGUCCUUGAAGCCAUUCGUUUAUACUAUUUUAUUGGCUGUGUAAAUUCAUGCCUAUAAUCUCUAUAGCUGUAUCUUCCCUUCUUUCGUUUUUCCCCUUUAAUUUCUUUUCAUUUGAGAAUCAGAUGAUGAUAAAACACAUGCGAGGGCAUAGUGCUGGGUAUCUUAUGUCACGCAGGUUAUAGCAGAUAAUGAAAUGCUCUAGCACUUGAAUAAGUGCCUUUGAAACGCCAAAACCCAAGGUGUCCCUCUGAAGCAUCUACCCUGCUCUUCACUAUCAAAUGCGACUUGCAAUUCACCGGUUCUAUAAUGUGAAAACACAAUGGAAUCGUUCACUUUUACGGCACCGAAAGAAGGAUUUUUUAUGACUAUUUCUUUUUGUAGCUCAAUCGAUUCUGUAGAUCCUAUACCCAGUUAAAUUUAUCCAUUAAGAAACGUACGUUUUUUUUAUAUAUUUUAUUAUCUUUUUGGGGAUGACGGAUGAAAUUGCUUAUUUAGACAAAGGAGAGCAUCCGAUGCUUAGGAAGGAAUCUUAAUCAUACAACAUGCAAUUGACUAGUUUUGUUGUUUUGUUGCAUGUCCACCCGACAGCAAGUCGACGUCGCCGACGCUACUUACCCAUUUCUCAUCAGCGGUUUCUUUUGUCCUUUGUCCUCGCUCGUUCUUUAAUUCCAUCACCUCCACCUUCUCACAUAAUCCCCAGAGAGAGACACGCACACCGAUAUCGCCUUGAAAAUUGAAUUUUACUUUUCCUUGGUUCGAUAAACCUUUCCCCAGAGAGUGAGAGAAAGAGAGAGAGAGAUUCCUUCGCCUCGUAAUCGAUUGGGCAGAUGGAGGACGAAGAAGGGUAUCGGCGAUGCGCUCUUGUGCUCGUUGCUGGCAAUCGUCGGCUUUGAUUCUGGAGAAUUGAGCUCUGUGAGCUCUCUGUGCUUGAUGAUGUCUUUAUUUUCUUUCAGCACUCGUUCUCCGUGUGGCAUUUGUGUUGAGUUGUUAGGAUUCAGCUUGCUUCAUUUACAUUCUUUCCUUUUGUGGGAUAUAUAAACCUAGCAGGGAGAGCGAGCGGGAGUAUGUUGUUUCGGUUGCGGCUGAUGAAUGCUGGCUUUUUUUUUAUUUUUUUUGGGUCUACUUGCAUGUGGUGGGCUAGCUGCUUCUUGAUGGCUUUGUAUUAACCUCGUUUUGAUCAUGGAGUGGAAAUUUCUCCUCGUGCCGAUCCAGUCCUUGUGGUCUUAUGUAUAUGUGUGAGGACUGUGAGGACGGUGGUUGUGCAGCAGCCUGUGCAGCAUUGCAUUUGCUGCAUUGCAGUUCAUGAUCGAUUUGUCGAUCCCUAUUGUUUGUGCAUUGUAAUUGAUUGUUUUGAUGGCUCUGACAGUUCUGCGGUGAGUGUUGAUAUCAUAGCGCAUGCUGUUCGUGUCCUCCUCUGCAGCUAUUUUCUUAGCAUUACUUGGAUCGAGCAAUUGGACGUGUGCUCUGUAGUUUAUGCAGAUGCAGCCUAUCGGCUAUUUUCAUUGGAUGAGGACCAGUUUAUUUUUUUGCUUGUGGUAGAGCUAGAUGAGAUUGGACACUGUUGAGAUGACAUUCGAUCUGCAAAGCCAUCCUGAUUUUUCUAUGCUUCUGCUUCAGGUCAGGAGUAGAUGUUCCGACAAUGAGAGGCUGUUGAUUGCAAUACUGAAGUUGCUGUAAUUUAACUUCCAGGAAAGGACGGUUGAUUUGCCUUAAGAGGUAAUGCCAGCUUGGACUUGUAAAACAAUUUACCAACUUGUAAAAGUCGGCUCAUGAUCGCUGUGAAAUGUUCAUGGCCUGAAAUUGGUAGCAAUUUGUGUGUAGUUCAAGAAAUAACAACUUUCUUUUGGAUUUUUUUUUUUUAAUUCCUUCCGCCCUUUCUUUCUACUAUGAGGUGCAAAAACGUGGUAGCAAUGGUCACAACCAUCUUUUACUGGCAGGUUCUAUUGAUUGACACGAUCCAACAGGCAGAAUGGGCGUCUCUGGGAAAUGGAUCAAAGCCUUAGUUGGUUUGAAAAAAUCACAAAAAUCACCUUCAAAUAAGGAUGAAGAGGUGGGUAUAAGGCUGGGUUCGUGCUACCCUACUGUUGAAGUUUGUAUGUGCAUCAUUGCGAGCAUGGUGGGCUAGGGGCUCCUGACUAAGCCAAUUUGAUGCGAAACAGUCUCAUUAUGGGGGAAUGAGCGAAGUAUGGGUAGUACCUUGUAACGCCCUUCAACAGAGCCACAAAAUGAAAUGUAGAGCUUUUCCUGGAGGGACUCCUCUUUCACUGAAUUUUAUGUAGGAUGAGUGGUGCCCUGCGAAGUCAAUAAGUUAUCCACCUUUGUCAAAGUGGAAAGGUCUGAAUACUGAGAAGAUACUGUUCAAGUUGGCAAAAUAUGAAGUAAACCUCUGGACGAGUAUUGCCUAAAGACAGACUAUGACUGCAUGAUAUUCACAUGCUAAACAAUAAUCUCUUCUUUUCUUUGAAGUCAUGUUGUCCUAGCUCAAAUAUCACUCCUUUUAUGAUCUUUGUAGGGUUUUUGAAAUUCAGCCUCUUAAUAACUACAGCAUGAUUUUGUACCCUUUACAGAAGGUGAAUGGUAGCCAAUCACAUUCCAAGUCUCUGUGCUCUGCUAACUGUUCAGUUGGUACGGAGACCGAAAACAUCCAUGACCAGCUUAAUUGCAAUUAUGCUUCUCAUGUUGGGGAUGCAAAUGAACAUUUCAUCCCUGAUCCUGCUUGUAGUCUUUCCACCUGCUUUGAUGUACAGAAAACUGAUCAUCACCAGCAAAUUUUAAGAGAAGAGUUGGCUGCAACGCGCAUCCAAACAGCUUUCCGGGGUUUCCUGGUAUUGAUUUUUGCAGCCAAUUCGAUCUACAUAUGAUCUUCAGUCUUUAUUGACCUGAUGAGAGUCUCUUGAAUAGAAGAUUUUAGUAAUUCCCAAGAUGUUUGACGGCAUGCUCGGUCAGGUCAAAAGAAGUCACUUUAGGAAGUUAGUGAAGCUCCUUUGUUCUGCUCACUUAUUUUAUCAAUUUCAUUUUCCCACUUGUCAUAUAUUUAAUUGACAGCCAAGGAAUAGUAUGGAAAUGUCAAGGCAUUUCAAGUGAAUGAAAGUUCAUGUGGAAUGAUCAUGGCAAACAGUGAAUUGUGCUGGAUAAGUAUUUCAUGGGUUCAACAUAUUAAUGAAAUGGUCAUCAUGACAUGACAAUUUCUUCACCAGUAACUGUAUUCAGUAUCUGAUUUAAAAUUCUUGAGGGCAUUUCUCUUACAAUCUUUUGAAACAGCAUAAAAUGGUAUCAUGAUAUCUGACAGAGCAUAUGAAGGUACCUCUACUUACAAAUAUCUCUUUUUCCAUAAGGUUUUUCUUUAUGAUCACCAGCUGCUACUGCAGAGUAUCCUAGUCAGUCACAUCAUUCUCUUUCCACGAAACUUAACGACAAGCCAAUUUAAUCGAUCAGGAUGUCAAUGGGAACUUGUAAAAAUGGCUGUCAAAUAGAUGUUUUACCAAGAGCUUUUAAUGAACUGAAAGUAUUGGCAGAGCUAUGGUUGUAUCUCACUCAACUUAGUCUCAUUGGUCAGUUUCAUGGCUUCUGCACCAGGCAAGAAGAGCUUUAAGUGCUUUGAAAGGGUUGGUGAGGCUUCAGGCCCUUAUCAGAGGUCAUUCUGUGAGAAAGCAAGCUGCAAUGACACUGCGUUGCAUGCAAGCUUUAGUAAGAGUUCAAGCCCAUGUACGGGCAAGGCGGGUGCGACUAGCAUUGGAAAGUCAAACAGCAGAACAGAAAUUUAAGCAACAAACUGCAAAGGAGGCUCAAGUUCGGCAGAUUGAAGUAUGCUGCUUUUAUUGCAAUUCUCAUAUUGAAGGGUCUGCAUUUUCUUCCACCUCAUUCAUCAUAGACGAGGAACUUUCGUUUUUUUUUUAUGUAUAUCAAUGAUACAAUAUAUUACCAGUUGAAUGUCAGCUGUACAAAGCUGCAUCUUCAAGGUCUAGUACUUGUGUUAAUCCAUUUAGAAAUUAUAAUGAUUACAGAACAUCAUGCUUAACCACAGAGGGACCACAUAUGCAGCAAAGGAAAUCAUUCAAGUAUCGUGAUUUCUUAAAUUAGUUUGAUGCACCUACCACAGUAACUGAUGGGAGAUAACAACUUAUCAGAUUUUCUUUAGAUGGUUCCGAUUAUUUCACUUUAUUUGCUGUCUUAAGGAGGCAGUCACACUCUCCACAUGUUGAAUGGAUGCCACUGGAUGUAGGUCCUGGACAGCAUCAAUAGUGGUUGAAACCGUUUGGGAGGGAUGAAAUUUUAGAACUUCUACUUAAUGACUUUCCCUCCUAGCAAUGAAAAUGAAAAACAUAAUAUAUAAAAAUCAUGAAAUGUUUAAGGCGCUUCGUGUUAAUUUUAUUUCCUCAUCUUCACUGGCGGUGCUAUCUUUUUUGAGAACACGGUGCCUCUAAUUAUGGUCUCAGUGUUAAAUUGUUAAAUGAUGAACAAAAUUCUGCCACAUGAUGGUCUCAGUGUUAAAUUGUUAAAUGAUGAACAAAAUCUGCCACAUGAACAUAGGAAUAACUAUUUACAUGGUCAUGUGCUAGUUUUAAUGAGUGUUUUCGUUUCUCACAUUUUAGCAGGAAGGUUGGUGUGACCACAUAGGAUCUGCAGAAGAAAUUCAAGCCAAGUUAGUGAAGAGGCAGGAAGCUGCAGCUAAGCGUGAAAGAGCCAUGGCUUAUUCCUUAGCUCAUCAGGUAAGCUAUAUUUGAUAUUACCAUGGAUAUGUCUGUGAACUAUGCUUUUCCUCCAUCUUCUAGGGUGAUGUCAGAUUUUAAACUCAGUUUGACUAGAGCAUAUCAGAUUUUAAACUCCGUCUUAGGCUUGCCAAUUUAAGUGUGUGGACUCAACAGAAAGGUAAAUUUGAGAUGGAAUAAUUAACCUAAGAGCCCAAUUAAAUUCAAUACCUUACAGUUCAGCCUUCAACUAAAAUGGAUGUGUUCUUCGUAGUUUAUAGUAGUUUCAACUUUCAAUGCAAAAAUUUGCAGUAUCGAUUAGUCUCCACAUGAAUGUGGUACAGGAUGCAUCUUCUCUGGUUAGCUUAAUAUUUGCAUCAUCAAACAAUGAAGUGCACCAGGAUUGUGUAUGCCUUAAAAUGUAUGCUCGCAUCACUAAGUUGCACACUAUAUGUGAAAUGAACAAAAUUAACUUUGUCUUACAAGGUGCAUGAAUACAUAAUUACCCAUUUUCUUACUGACAAUUUACUGUAAACUAAGCAGAUUCUAUAAUAUGUGCUUAGGGAAGUGGACUUUAUGCACGAUUGCCAUCUUUUCUCGACUAUGCCGUGUCAUUUUUUGCAUGGUUAGAGCCUGAGACCAUUACUGCAAUCAAAAUACAAUCACAAUCUAGCACUGAGUUUCAUGAGCCUAAAACUCUCUUAUAGUACUAUGCAGUGGCAAUUACAAUCUCCUUGAUUUUACUUCAUAGUGGCCUUUUUUUUUUCUUCAUGCAGUGGCAAGCAGGAUCAAAACAACUGGCAGCACCUACAGGGUUUGAACCUGACAAAAGCAGCUGGGGAUGGACCUGGUUGGAGAGAUGGAUGGCAGUUCGUCCAUGGGAGAACCGAUUUCUCGACAUUAAUAUCGGUGAUGGAAUGACAAUUCAAGAAAGUGGCUCGGCACAGAGUGCGGAUGACACUAGAGCCCAGUCGAAGUCUGCCAGCAAGAAACCGGGUUCAACAAAUCUUUGCAAUCAGAAAAGAGGGUCUUCUCAGACUAAUGUUGUUGGCUCUUCAUCUAGUAAAUCAUUGAAUAAGAUGCCCUCUGAUCAGGCAGUCCCUUCCAAGCCAGAGUCAAAGCUUGUCAAUGAUGGAAUUCAAUUGGCCCAAGCCAGGCUUGGUCGUAGUUCCAGAUCGCAAAGUAAUCCUAAAGAGAGAUCAGUGCCAUCUGAUAAACAGGCAAAGAAGCGAUUCUCUCUGCCUAAUUCUGGUAAACUCCCUUUCUCCCUCUGUCUCUAUCACAGAUCCGCACACAGACAUGUUCAUGCGAAUAGAGGGAUGUAUGAAUUGCACUGAACAACCGCCGCGGUUGUUAAAAAAAUUCCGCUUAUAAACGUCAGGCUUGCAGCGCACAUCCUCUACUUUUAACGCUGUGUUCGCAUGUCUAAUAUGCCCGGUAGCCGGUCUUGCUUAUAAACUCGUAUUCCUGUUAUCACAGAACAUCAUCGGGAAUUAAGCUCAUCUGAAGUUUAACUUGAUUUUAUCAGGAUCGACCGUCGGGGCACCAACUGCUAAAAACCCCAGCAGAACUGCUGCAUCGAGAAAAUUGGAUCCGCCGGCAAGACGUGUUUCCGAGGCGAACUGAUUAGUAACCCUCUCGAAUUAUGAAGAACAAAAGGUCCAACCUCAUUCCACUUUGAGGCUUUGCACGUAACGCCCGAAUUGCAACAGACGCAAGCAAUUGCUUUCAAGCACGCACACCUUCCUCUCCCGUGACUUGUCAAGGCUUUUUUUUUUCCCAAAAGUGGCAGAGCAGAAGAGAUUGCUUCGGCUCCUCGGCGUCCGCAGCUCUAGCUCUAGUACCGUCAUGAAUGCAUCUCGUCUUUUUCCUUUUCCAGUUUCGGUUUUUAGUCGCCCGUGUACUCGUUGAGAUGUGGUCGCUGUUUUCGGAUCUAUUUGGUUGCUGAAGGGAUCGAAAUUUCCUAGAGUCGUGACUUUUGGGUCCGUCCAAUUCCUAACGCUCCCCCUCCUCUCUAUCCUGGAAAAAAGAGAGAAAAAAACGACUCGAUGCGCGUUCCUCCGUCGCGGUCGAUGAUGGGGGUCGGGCUUCGAUCGUGCGCUCGUCCAUGAUCACGACGACCUUAUCUUCGGAUUCCUUUCGCGGGCUACGUGCUACCUAUCAAGAUCCCCCCCGCUCUGACGCAGCGGCCAAGCGGUGAGGGGCAGCGCAACAGGACAGCCACUUGACCCCCUUUUCACGCACGCGGGGUGUCCUCCCAGAUCUGUCCGAUCUGUCCGAUCUGUCAGUAAGCGGAGACAAUUUCUUCUCACCCCCUACCCCGACCAAAAUUAAUGCGGUCAAAUUUCACAGUUACGUAAUCACGAAUUUAUCCCGAAAAUCUAUCCUCGUGAUCAUGAGGAGAUUAGAAAAUCCAGCCUUUGCGAUUCCUUUUUUUAAGCAAAUUGCAUUACGAUCUUUUUUACAGAGAGAGUGGAGGAGGAGGAGGGGGAGAAUUCUGAGCAGUAUAAAGCAAAGAAAUUAGAAAGAAGAGUCCAAGAAAAGAAAGAAAAAGAACGGAAUCGCCCCUCCCGUCACGCCGUCAGAGAGAGAGAGAGAGAGAGAGAGAGAGAAGAAGAAGGGGCCUCCAUACCCACCCCUCAACCCCUCAACCUCCAUCGCCAUCACUCCCCUCCUCCCUGCCUUCCCUCCAUCUUCCUCCAUCUCCAUCAUCUCCAUCUUCGCCACCAAAACCUCUCUCUCUUUCUAUCUCUAUACCCUAUGCCCUCCCACCUCCAAAUCCAAACCCAAACCCAAACCCAAACCCUAACCCCCACCGAUCUUGGAUCUCCUUCUGCAAUUUCUCUCCAUCGUCGCCGUCGCCGUCGCCGUCGCCGUCGUCGUCAUCAUCAUCUGCAUCUUGUUCGGCAUUGAUCGGGAUCUUCUAAAUGUACAGAUNNNN
This 10256-nucleotide long non-coding RNA is filed under the name Eucalyptus grandis. Its description in RNAcentral is "long non-coding RNA (EGRA_LNC001131)". The record is from RNAcentral. Lineage: Eukaryota; Viridiplantae; Streptophyta; Magnoliopsida; Myrtales; Myrtaceae.